Molecule: ribosomal RNA, 910 nt
Filed under: uncultured Terriglobales bacterium
Lineage: Bacteria; Pseudomonadati; Acidobacteriota; Terriglobia; Terriglobales
Description: bacterial SSU rRNA
Rfam family: Bacterial small subunit ribosomal RNA
Source: RNAcentral
AAUGAACGCUGGCGGCGUGCUUAACACAUGCAAGUCGUGCGCGAAGGUGGCUUCGGCCACCGGAGAGCGGCGAACGGGUGAGUAACACGUGGGUGAUCUGCCUGGAAGCGGGGGAUAACCUGGGGAAACUCGGGCUAAUACCGCAUACGUUGGUAGGGUUACGGCCUUACGAAGAAAACCGGCCUCUGCUUGCAAGCUGGUGCUUCCAGAGGAGCCCGCGGCUGAUUAGCUAGUUGGUAGGGUAAUGGCCUACCAAGGCGACGAUCAGUAGCCGGCCUGAGAGGGUGAUCGGCCACACUGGGACUGAGACACGGCCCAGACUCCUACGGGAGGCAGCAGUGGGGAAUAUUGGACAAUGGGCGCAAGCCUGAUCCAGCAACGCCGCGUGGAGGACGAAGGUCUUCGGAUCGUAAACUCCUGUCAGACGGGACGAAAGGUUCAGGGCAAAUAGUUCUGGAUCUUGACGGUACUGUCAGAGGAAGCCCCGGCUAACUCCGUGCCAGCAGCCGCGGUAAUACGGGAGGGGGCGAGCGUUAUUCGGAAUUAUUGGGCGUAAAGGGCGCGUAGGCGGCUUGGCAAGUCAAAGGUGAAAUCCCUCGGCUCAACUGAGGAACUGCCUUUGAAACUGCCUGGCUUGAGGCCGGGAGGGGGUAGCGGAAUUCCCAGUGUAGCGGUGAAAUGCGUAGAUAUUGGGAGGAACACCAGUGGCGAAGGCGGCUACCUGGACCGGUACUGACGCUGAUGCGCGAAAGCGUGGGUAGCAAACAGGAUUAGAUACCCUGGUAGUCCACGCUGUAAACGAUGGGUGCUCGGUGUCGCGGGUAUCGACCCCUGCGGUGCCUUAGCUAACGCGUUAAGCACCCCGCCUGGGGAGUACGGUCGCAAGGCUGAAACUCAACGGAAUUGACGG